UACGGAGGGUGCAAGCGUUAAUCGGAAUUACUGGGCGUAAAGCGCACGUAGGCGGCUAUGUAAGUCGGAUGUGAAAGCCCCGGGCUCAACCUGGGAAUUGCAUUCGAUACUGCAUGGCUAGAGUAUGGUAGAGGAGAGGGGAAUUCCCGGUGUAGCGGUGAAAUGCGUAGAUAUCGGGAGGAACAUCAGUGGCGAAGGCGCCUCUCUGGACCAAUACUGACGCUGAGGUGCGAAAGCGUGGGUAGCGAACAGG
RNAcentral lists this ribosomal RNA (253 nucleotides) under uncultured bacterium. RNAcentral's name for it is "partial 16S ribosomal RNA". It matches the Rfam family "Bacterial small subunit ribosomal RNA", at positions 524 to 776 of the family's 1533-position model. The record is from RNAcentral.